AUGAACAACAUCAUCAUCCUCAUCUGGAUAUUGCUGUGCUCUAUACAAGGCUGCAGUGGACAGAUCACAGUUACUCAAACUCCUGCAGUUCAAACAACUGAAGCAGGAAAGACUGUUGUGAUGAGAUGCACCGCCAGCACUCCUUUAACAGGCUGCAGCCCAAGACCAUGUCUGUCCUGGUACUUACAGAAACCUGGAGAAGCUCCUAAACUCCUCAUAUAUUAUGCAACAAGCCGUUACACUGGAACUCCAUCUAGAUUCAGUGGCAGUGGGUCUAGCUACGGAAGUGAUUUCACUCUCACCAUCAGUGGAGUCCAGACUGAAGAUACAGGAGAUUAUUACUGUCUGAGUGUACACUGUCCUAGUAGCUAUGUGUUCACACAGUGA
This is a non-coding RNA of Sinocyclocheilus rhinocerous, 387 nucleotides long. NCBI's taxonomy places the organism in Eukaryota, Metazoa, Chordata, Actinopteri, Cypriniformes, Cyprinidae. The record is from the annotation of a RefSeq genome assembly.